CCCUAGUAAACUUCACUAGUUUAUGUUCAUGCUUAUUUUUAUAUUAAACUUUCAGAAUAAUCAGAGUAUUUAACAUGUGACUAAAGGGAUCGGUAGAGCG
Non-coding RNA from Vicugna pacos (alpaca), 100 nucleotides. Lineage: Eukaryota; Metazoa; Chordata; Mammalia; Artiodactyla; Camelidae. The record is from RefSeq and is a predicted model, not a curated record.